UACGAAGGGGGCUAGCGUUGUUCAGAAUCACUGGGCGUAAAGCGCACGUAGGCGGAUCUUUAAGUCAGGGGUGAAAUCCCGAGGCUCAACCUCGGAACUGCCUUUGAUACUGGGGAUCUCGAGUCCGGGAGAGGUGAGUGGAACUGCGAGUGUAGAGGUGAAAUUCGUAGAUAUUCGCAAGAACACCAGUGGCGAAGGCGGCUCACUGGCCCGGAACUGACGCUGAGGUGCGAAAGCGUGGGGAGCAAACAGG
This 253-nucleotide ribosomal RNA is filed under the name uncultured bacterium. RNAcentral's name for it is "partial 16S ribosomal RNA". It matches the Rfam family "Bacterial small subunit ribosomal RNA", at positions 524 to 776 of the family's 1533-position model. The record is from RNAcentral.